AACGCCCUGCUGUGCUCGUGAUGCGAUACAAGCGUUUUGAGCCAACACCCUGAAAAAGGGGAUCAAUCUCCGGAGAGGAUGCGGCGACGCAGAAUCGAAGGGUAGAUCCCCACUUGCGAAAGCAAGUUCAAAACCUGGUAGCACACGGCACAGCGGGGAACAU
This 163-nucleotide non-coding RNA is filed under the name Anaerolineae bacterium. RNAcentral describes it as "6S RNA". It matches the Rfam family "6S / SsrS RNA". Rfam says of the family: E. coli 6S RNA was the first non coding RNA to be sequenced, but its function was unknown until recently. It consists of 184 nucleotides that fold into an extended hairpin structure with a large single-stranded internal bulge. Lineage: Bacteria; Bacillati; Chloroflexota; Anaerolineae. The record is from RNAcentral.